AAUAAAAAUAUCUUUGGUUGGGGCAACCACGAAGAAGAAAUAACCUUUGUAAUAAAAAAGAAUCUACAAAUUCAAAAUAAAAAAAAGACCCAGAAAACUGAGCAAAGAAAAAAGUUACCGCAGGGAUAACAGCGUUAUUCUCUUUGAGAGUUCUUAUUGACAAGAGAGUUUGCGACCUCGAUGUUGGACCGGGAUACCCAAGAGGUGCAGCAGCCUCUAAAGGUAGGUCUGUUCGACCUUUAAAAUCCUACGCGAUCUGAGUUCAGACCGACGCAAGUCAGGUCAGUUUCUAUCUA
Molecule: ribosomal RNA, 296 nt
Filed under: Isometra sp. 5314
Lineage: Eukaryota; Metazoa; Echinodermata; Crinoidea; Comatulida; Antedonidae
Description: partial 16S ribosomal RNA
Rfam family: Bacterial large subunit ribosomal RNA
Source: RNAcentral